Non-coding RNA from Podarcis lilfordi (Lilford's wall lizard), 83 nucleotides. The record is from the annotation of a GenBank genome assembly. NCBI's taxonomy places the organism in Eukaryota, Metazoa, Chordata, Lepidosauria, Squamata, Lacertidae.
GCAGUGGUGCAGUGGCAGAGCAUGCCACCCCAGAACAGGGGUUUGCAUGUGGAAGGUCCCAGCUUCAAUCCCUGGUAUCUCCA